RNAcentral lists this ribosomal RNA (512 nucleotides) under uncultured bacterium. RNAcentral's name for it is "bacterial SSU rRNA". It matches the Rfam family "Bacterial small subunit ribosomal RNA", at positions 791 to 1310 of the family's 1533-position model. The record is from RNAcentral.
UAGUCCACGCCGUAAACGAUGAUCACUAGCUGUCGGCAAUAAAGUGUCGGUGGUCAAGCGAAAGUAAUAAGUGAUCCACCUGGGGAGUACGCUGGCAACAGUGAAACUCAAAGGAAUUGACGGAGGCCCGCACAAGCGGUGGAGCAUGUGGUUUAAUUCGAUGAUACGCGAGGAACCUUACCAGGGCUUAAAUGUAGAAUGACAGUUGUGGAAACACAUCCUUCUUCGGACAUUCUACAAGGUGCUGCAUGGUUGUCGUCAGCUCGUGCCGUGAGGUGUCGGGUUAAGUCCCAUAACGAGCGCGACCCCUAUCUUUAGUUGCCAGCGGUUCGGCCGGGGACUCUAAAGAAACUGCCCGUGUAAACGGAGAGGAAGGUGGGGAUGACGUCAAAUCAUCACGGCCCUUACGUCCUGGGCUACACACGUGCUACAAUGGCAAGGACAGUGAGCAGCAAACCCGCGAGGGUGAGCCAAUCUAUAAACCUUGUCUCAGUUCGGAUCGGAGUCUGCAA